UACGGAAGAUGCGAGCGUUAUCCGGAUUUAUUGGGUUUAAAGGGAGCGUAGGCGGAAGCUUAAGUCUGCGGUUAAAUGUCAGCGCUCAACGCUGUCUUGCCGUGGAAACUGGGUUUCUUGAAUGUGCACAAGGUGGAUGGAAUUCGUGGUGUAGCGGUGAAAUGCUUAGAUAUCACGAAGAACUCCGAUUGCGAAGGCAGUCCACUGGGGCAUGAUUGACGCUGAGGCUCGAAAGUGCGGGAAUC
Molecule: ribosomal RNA, 245 nt
Filed under: uncultured Paraprevotella sp.
Lineage: Bacteria; Pseudomonadati; Bacteroidota; Bacteroidia; Bacteroidales; Prevotellaceae
Description: partial 16S ribosomal RNA
Rfam family: Bacterial small subunit ribosomal RNA
Source: RNAcentral